This 468-nucleotide ribosomal RNA is filed under the name uncultured bacterium. RNAcentral's name for it is "partial 16S ribosomal RNA". It matches the Rfam family "Bacterial small subunit ribosomal RNA", at positions 28 to 507 of the family's 1533-position model. The record is from RNAcentral.
GACGAACGCUGGCGGCGUGCUUAACACAUGCAAGUCGAACGGAAAGGCCCUGCUUUUGUGGGGUGCUCGAGUGGCGAACGGGUGAGUAACACGUGAGUAACCUGCCCUUGACUUUGGGAUAACUUCAGGAAACUGGGGCUAAUACCGGAUAGGAGCUCCUGCUGCAUGGUGGGGGUUGGAAAGGUUCGGCGGUUGGGGAUGGACUCGCGGCUUAUCAGCUUGUUGGUGGGGUAGUGGCUUACCAAGGCUUUGACGGGUAGCCGGCCUGAGAGGGUGACCGGCCACAUUGGGACUGAGAUACGGCCCAGACUCCAUCGGGAGGCAGCAGUGGGGAAUAUUGCACAAUGGGCGGAAGCCUGAUGCAGCAACGCCGCGUGCGGGAUGACUGCCUUCGGGUUGUAAACCGCUUUCGCCUGUGACGAAGCGUGAGUGACGGUAAUGGGUAAAGAAGCACCGGCUAACUACGUG